GCAGCCAUUUCCACCAUCACAGCAAGGGC
RNAcentral lists this non-coding RNA (29 nucleotides) under Homo sapiens (human). The record is from RNAcentral. Lineage: Eukaryota; Metazoa; Chordata; Mammalia; Primates; Hominidae.